RNAcentral lists this transfer RNA (91 nucleotides) under Drechslerella stenobrocha 248. It matches the Rfam family "tRNA". From Rfam's summary of the family: Transfer RNA (tRNA) molecules are approximately 80 nucleotides in length. Their secondary structure includes four short double-helical elements and three loops (D, anti-codon, and T loops). Further hydrogen bonds mediate the characteristic L-shaped molecular structure. tRNAs have two regions of fundamental functional importance: the anti-codon, which is responsible for specific mRNA codon recognition, and the 3' end, to which the tRNAs corresponding amino acid is attached (by aminoacyl-tRNA synthetases). tRNAs cope with the degeneracy of the genetic code in two manners: having more than one tRNA (with a specific anti-codon) for a particular amino acid; and 'wobble' base-pairing, i.e. permitting non-standard base-pairing at the 3rd anti-codon position. The record is from Rfam by way of RNAcentral. Lineage: Eukaryota; Fungi; Ascomycota; Orbiliomycetes; Orbiliales; Orbiliaceae.
GCGGGUUUAGCUCAGUUGGGAGAGCGUCAGACUGAAGUCAAACAACAGUCAUAAAAUCUGAAGGUCGUGUGUUCGAUCCACACAAACCGCA